CCCUUAGAUGUUCUGGACCGCACGCGCGCUACACUGAUGCAUUCAACGAGUUUCUUCCUGGUCCGAGAGGAAUGGGUAACCUUUUGAAAGUGCAUCGUGAUAGGGAUAGACUAUUGCAAUUAUUGGUCUUCAACGAGGAAUUCCUAGUAGACGUAGUUCAUCAGACUGCAUCGAUUACGUCCCUGCCCUUUGUACACACCGCCCGUCGCUCCUACCGAUUGAAUGCUCAGGUGAGCCAUUCGGACCUUCAUCAUGCCGGUUUCCGGUUUUGAUGAGGGAAAGUCUUGCGAACCUUAUCAUUUAGAGGAAGGAGAAGUCGUAACA
Molecule: ribosomal RNA, 324 nt
Filed under: uncultured eukaryote
Lineage: Eukaryota
Description: partial 18S ribosomal RNA
Rfam family: Eukaryotic small subunit ribosomal RNA
Source: RNAcentral